Molecule: transfer RNA, 75 nt
Filed under: Arsenophonus sp. aPb
Lineage: Bacteria; Pseudomonadati; Pseudomonadota; Gammaproteobacteria; Enterobacterales; Morganellaceae
Description: tRNA-Gln
Rfam family: tRNA
About the family: Transfer RNA (tRNA) molecules are approximately 80 nucleotides in length. Their secondary structure includes four short double-helical elements and three loops (D, anti-codon, and T loops).
Source: RNAcentral
UGGGGUAUCGCCAAGCGGUAAGGCACCAGGUUUUGAUCCUGGCACACCCUGGUUCGAAUCCAGGUACCCCAGCCA